Molecule: long non-coding RNA, 1856 nt
Filed under: Theobroma cacao (cacao)
Lineage: Eukaryota; Viridiplantae; Streptophyta; Magnoliopsida; Malvales; Malvaceae
Description: long non-coding RNA (TCAC_LNC005470)
Source: RNAcentral
CGGUAAAUAAUUUUACUAAUGUAAAAGCUAAAUAAAUUCAUACGUACUAUAAUACAGAUAACUGGGAUAUGAAAUUUACUUUACAGUGACUCGUGGGCCCACAAGGAACAAAAGUGCAUAAAAGCAGUAAACCUACAGUUUUUGGAGUAGUAAAGCCAACUAUAAUCCUUGACGAUAUCUGCUAUCCACAGGCUACCUCGGCCCUGAAAUGAUUGAAAAGGAGGGUGGUGAGAUUAUAAAAUCUCAGUGAGUAAAUAGAUACCAUUUAAACCAUCUAAAGUCGAGUAAAUGAGACAGAUAAAACAAUUUAACAUACUAAAAUUCAUCACCUUUCAACUUGUUUCAACUAAAUAAAAUCAAUUCAUAUAAAUCGAGUAAUUAACAUGGCUUAUGAAUUUCUUAAAACUUUGGCUCGUGCCAAAAUCAUUAUCAUACUCAGUCAUCAGGGAUACCUUAGCCGAGGGCUAUUCCAAACCAAGUCCGCCAAGGCUGUUAAAAAGUUAUGUACGCAUAAAUCAUGUUUUUAUUUUGAAAACAUAGUCGUUCCUUGGCGUUAGCCGAGUUCCCUCUCACGUGGUGGUUUGACGUGAAGUGAACUCUAAAAGUGUUAACCUCAGGAGUUAUCCACCCGCGCCUCUCAUACUGAGGUAAGAUAUAACGGGGUUUACCGUGCCCCUCUAAUAGGCUGGUCCACGGAAACCCACCCACUGCAACAAGCUAAUAAUUAUCCCACCAAUCAAUAAAAUUCAAUAACAUGAUAUGGCAAUUAUUGUAAUUCACAACCUUUCAAGGCUAAAUACACAAUUCAUAUAUUUCAACAUAAAUACCAAUUCAGUCAUUCAUGCAAAUAUUGUCAUAAGCCAUUCGAUUCAAACCAUGAAUUUACAACACAUGAAAACAGUCUCCAAUUACUCUAUUUUCCAAACCAUCAUUUCAUUUCAAGAUAAUGUUUUAAAAUCAUUUCAUUAAAUCACAUUUUAAUUACAAAACACAAAGAUUUACCAUUUAACUCAUUUUCCAUAAAAUCACAAAAUCGGAUAAAAACCACUUUAGAUAAUUAAGACGAUAGUAAGGUUACUCACAAGAUUAGGAGUUUGAUAUACUCCAAUUCUCGAUCUUCGAGCACAAUCUCUUUACCCUUAUUAGAGGGCUCACCACUUAUACAUCAUACGUGACACGAAUUUCAAUAAAUUGUGUCAAUUUAUCAUAAACUAUUUUAGGCUCUAUAAAUCUAUAUGAAUGCACGAAAUGUAAUGGAAAAUGUCCGAAUAGCCGUUUAAAUACGGUAUUCGACCUAAUUCGCACUAUUCUCGAUGUAAUUGGCUAAAACCUCCAAUUUAACUCCAAAUCGAUUUCUUUCACUUUCUACACUCCAAUUAUACUUAAAAUACCUCAAUGACUAUGAAUAUGAUUCAAUUUAUCAGUCCGAACCAUAAAUUGCACAUGUCUAUACAUUAGGUAAAAAUUCAUAUUUUCAUGCCAAAAUUUCCCAUUAAAUUUCUAGCCUCACCAAUCAUUAAAUACCACCAAAAUAUCAUAAAAUAUUAUCAAUUUCAGCCUCAAUAUCCUCCCUAGAAAAUUCUGCCUCUUGUGGGUUUGUGAAGAACAAAGUGAUUCUUAGCUAGAUUUUUAUACUUUCCAUUACCAACCAACCAAAAACACUUAAUUAGCUUGAAAUCUAGCAAAAUCAAUGCUCAAAACCUCUCCUCUCAAAUUCGGCCAGCAUGGGUUCAUCAUGCAAACUUGAGUUCUGAGCAUGGAAAAUGAAAAAGAAAGCAUGGGUAGUGUAAAUCACAAGAUAAAAUCACAAAAUUUUACCUUUAUUAGCUUAAUCUCUUGAAAUCCCAUAAUUUUUC